Glossina morsitans morsitans is the source of this 92-nucleotide non-coding RNA. NCBI's taxonomy places the organism in Eukaryota, Metazoa, Arthropoda, Insecta, Diptera, Glossinidae. The record is from Rfam.
UGAGUUUUGGAGUUCGUAUCAGGGGUGACAUUUGCACUGGGUUUUCAAUAGUAGUUUGUAAAUGCACUAUCUGGUACGACACGCCAUAACGA